RNAcentral lists this ribosomal RNA (450 nucleotides) under uncultured bacterium. RNAcentral's name for it is "bacterial SSU rRNA". It matches the Rfam family "Bacterial small subunit ribosomal RNA", at positions 354 to 796 of the family's 1533-position model. The record is from RNAcentral.
GUGGGGAAUAUUGGACAAUGGGCGAAAGCCUGAUCCAGCCAUGCCGCGUGUGUGAAGAAGGUCUUCGGAUUGUAAAGCACUUUAAGUUGGGAGGAAGGGCAGUAAGCUAAUACCUUGCUGUUUUGACGUUACCGACAGAAUAAGCACCGGCUAACUUCGUGCCAGCAGCCGCGGUAAUACGAAGGGUGCAAGCGUUAAUCGGAAUUACUGGGCGUAAAGCGCGCGUAGGUGGUUUUGUAAGUUGGAGGUGAAAUCCCCGGGCUCAACCUGGGAACUGCCUCCAAAACUGCAUGACUAGAGUACGGUAGAGGGUAGUGGAAUUUCCUGUGUAGCGGUGAAAUGCGUAGAUAUAGGAAGGAACACCAGUGGCGAAGGCGACUACCUGGACUGAUACUGACACUGAGGUGCGAAAGCGUGGGGAGCAAACAGGAUUAGAUACCCGUGUAGUCC